RNAcentral lists this ribosomal RNA (583 nucleotides) under uncultured bacterium. Its description in RNAcentral is "partial 16S ribosomal RNA". It matches the Rfam family "Bacterial small subunit ribosomal RNA", at positions 355 to 929 of the family's 1533-position model. The record is from RNAcentral.
UGGGGAAUUUUGGACAAUGGGCGAAAGCCUGAUCCAGCCAUGCCGCGUGCAGGAUGAAGGCCUUCGGGUUGUAAACUGCUUUUGUACGGAACGAAAAGACUCUGGUUAAUACCUGGGGCCCAUGACGGUACCGUAAGAAUAAGCACCGGCUAACUACGUGCCAGCAGCCGCGGUAAUACGUAGGGUGCAAGCGUUAAUCGGAAUUACUGGGCGUAAAGCGUGCGCAGGCGGUUAUAUAAGACAGAUGUGAAAUCCCCGGGCUCAACCGUGGGAACUGCNUUUGUGACUGUAUAGCUAGAGUACGGCAGAGGGGGAUGGAAUUCCGCGUGUAGCAGUGAAAUGCGUAGAUAUGCGGAGGAACACCGAUGGCGAAGGCAAUCCCCUGGGCCUGUACUGACGCUCAUGCACGAAAAGCGUGGGGAGCAAACAGGAUUAGAUACCCUGGUAGUCCACGCCCUAAACGAUGUCAACUGGUUGUUGGGUCUUCACUGACUCAGUAACGAAGCUAACGCGUGAAGUUGACCGCCUGGGGAGUACGGCCGCAAGGUUGAAACUCAAAUGAAUUGACGGGGGUCAUAGCUGG